CGGCAUGCUUAACACAUGCAAGUCGAACGGUAACAGGCCCGCAAGGGUGCUGACGAGUGGCGGACGGGUGAGUAGUACGUAGGAAUCUGUCUCGUAGUGGGGGAGUAACCUAGCGAAAGUUAGGCUAAUACCGCAUACGUCUUACGAGAGAAAGCGGGGGACCUUCGGGCCUCGUGCUAUGAGGUGAGCCUACGUCCGAUUAGCUAGUUGGUAGGGUAAAGGCCUACCAAGGCGACGAUCGGUAGCUGGUCUGAGAGGAUGAUCAGCCACACUGGGACUGAGACACGGCCCAGACUCCUACGGGAGGCAGCAGUGGGGAAUAUUGGACAAUGGGCGAAAGCCUGAUCCAGCAAUGCCGCCGUGUGUGAAGAAGGCCUGCGGGUUGUAAAGCACUUUCGGUGGGGAAGAAGGGGCUGGGGUUAAUACCUCUGGACCUUGACGUUACCCAAAGAAGAAGCACCGGCUAACUCCGUGCCAGCAGCAGC
RNAcentral lists this ribosomal RNA (485 nucleotides) under uncultured bacterium. RNAcentral's name for it is "bacterial SSU rRNA". It matches the Rfam family "Bacterial small subunit ribosomal RNA", at positions 40 to 518 of the family's 1533-position model. The record is from RNAcentral.